UAUUGUUUUUCAGGUAACCGGCUUCCCAAAUUUGAAGAGCUGUGUACUGUUUACAUUCUGAUGGGGAUGACUGGAUUGAUUCAAAGCGCAGUUAGUUGUAAUUGGAGAGCUGUCCAUUAGACCAUCAGCGGAAUCGUUGCAUAUUCUUCAAUUGCAGAAGAAGUUCUGCACAGAAAUGAUAGAUUUUGGGCUUACAAUAUGGAAUGAAACAUCAACAUGGAAAUACACUUCUGGAUGCAGUAGGUGGUAAUAUAUGCAGAUGAGUAACUUGGAAUAUUGACGUGAUGUUGAAGAAAAUCAGUCAUGGCGAAAGACAUUAUGGAAUUUCUGUUUUGUGGAACACAGCUAUCACUCCAGAGAAUUAAUGUCUCCAUUUCUGGAUUGUCUUCAAUGACUUUUUCCAAUAUUUCAUACACUGCAUUAGCAAUGUCAUUUCCAGCCCUACCAGAUGAUGUUUCUGGCCAAACUGCACAGCAUACUUUUUUUGUAGUUGACAGAUGGGCUGUCAUAUUGUAAACCGUAAACUACCUUUUAUAAAAAAAAGAAUUCAUUUCCGCCUUAGGGCAGCUGAGGACGUUUUCUAAAUCAAAACAAGAGUACUGGUAUGUUUCCUUCUGUAUCGUUCUUUCGUUCCUACCUCAUUGCUUCUUUUUCUUUCAAGUGAUUGUCGUAUGUGAUUUCUCUUUCUUCAGAUAAUCUAUUUUCUUUUUUUUUUUAAUAAACAAAUUUCUUCGCAAAGGUCACACCUAUCUUUUUUAGGAAUGUGAAAAUAAAAAUUGAAAUUUGUACAAAAUAUGGCCAUGUAUGCGGAUUCCUUGA
Molecule: long non-coding RNA, 819 nt
Organism: Leptinotarsa decemlineata (Colorado potato beetle)
Lineage: Eukaryota; Metazoa; Arthropoda; Insecta; Coleoptera; Chrysomelidae
Source: RefSeq, a predicted model, not a curated record